ACUCAAUAGAUACCCUGGUAGUCCUGGCAGUAAACGGUGCACGUUUGGUGUGGGCGCAAUCGACCGCGUCCGCGCCGUAGCUAACGCGUUAAGCGUGCCGCCUGGGAAGUACGGUCGCAAGAUUAAAACCCAAAGAAAUUGACGGGGACCCGCACAAGCGGUGGAGUAUGUGGCUUAAAUUCGAUGCAACGCGAAGAACCUUACCUGGUCUUGACAUGCAUUGUGUCUCCGCUGAAAGGCGGAUAGGGUAGCAAUACCCGCUUUGCACAGGUGCUGCAUGGCUGUCGUCAGCUCGUGUCGUGAGAUGUUGGGUUUAAGUCCCGCAACGAGCGCAACCCCUGUGAUUUGUUGCCACCCGGUUUACCGGCGCACUCGAAUCAGACUGCCUCGAUCAACGAGGAGGAAGGUGGGGAUGACGUCAAGUCCGUAUGGCCCUUACGACCAGGGCUGCACACGUACUACAAUGCUCAGCACAAUGUGAACCCGAAGCCGCGAGGCGGAGGAAAUCAGCAAAA
This 515-nucleotide ribosomal RNA is filed under the name uncultured bacterium. Its description in RNAcentral is "bacterial SSU rRNA". It matches the Rfam family "Bacterial small subunit ribosomal RNA", at positions 770 to 1280 of the family's 1533-position model. The record is from RNAcentral.